RNAcentral lists this transfer RNA (66 nucleotides) under Dialister invisus. It matches the Rfam family "tRNA". From Rfam's summary of the family: Transfer RNA (tRNA) molecules are approximately 80 nucleotides in length. Their secondary structure includes four short double-helical elements and three loops (D, anti-codon, and T loops). Further hydrogen bonds mediate the characteristic L-shaped molecular structure. tRNAs have two regions of fundamental functional importance: the anti-codon, which is responsible for specific mRNA codon recognition, and the 3' end, to which the tRNAs corresponding amino acid is attached (by aminoacyl-tRNA synthetases). tRNAs cope with the degeneracy of the genetic code in two manners: having more than one tRNA (with a specific anti-codon) for a particular amino acid; and 'wobble' base-pairing, i.e. permitting non-standard base-pairing at the 3rd anti-codon position. RNAcentral also lists the same sequence under 3 other names. The record is from RNAcentral. Lineage: Bacteria; Bacillati; Bacillota; Negativicutes; Veillonellales; Veillonellaceae.
UCAUUAGCUCAGUUGGUAGAGCACCUGACUCUUAAUCAGGGUGUCCGGGGUUCGAACCCCUGAUGA